GUGAAGACUUAAAAUAGAGACAAACAUGGCCGGGCAAAAAGAGCGGGGUCCCGCCUUCAGGUGUUUGGGACUCAAAUGAGGGUGUGGGUGCCCCGCGGUGGGGGCUGAACCUUCCUGGGGUGUGGAGAGACGAAAGAAGCCCAGAUUCAAGUCGUCUCGUUCCCGCUUUGGCACAAGUUGCCCUGGCUGUCUCAUGAGAGAGAGAACUGGGACCCUCAUGGCCCCAAUGAAUGUAGUGUCUUGCUCCGGGUGUCCUGGGGCUACUUUCUAUGUAAAGGCGGGACGUGGGAGGAUGAGACAGUGUAACGUCAGACAAGGGUGUUGACUCUGCAGCACAAAACCAGUAGUUUGUAGAGACGAACGAAGUGUGGUGUUGUAUCUGCUAGAGAGGCUACUGAGGCAAAACUCAAGAGAUUCAGAUCCCAUCAUGGGGACACUGUAGUGUAACAUCAGAGAAAGGGUAGACUCUGCACCCUAGAACCUGGAGCUAACAGAGAAAAACUGUGAUGUGGACUCUGCUAGACAGGCUACUGGAGUAAGGGUGAAGUGAUGAAGAUCUCAUCAUUGGGACAUAUUAACACAGUGCUUUUAUGCAGAUGACUGAACCCGUGGAGUUAGGCGGCUGAGAGGAUACAGCCUCCCAGAUCUCUACAACUGAUGGCAGCAAGAUGGGAGCACCCAGCUUCAGUGUUCAGAAGUAGAUUUAUGCAGACUUCCACAUCUUACAUGCAGGAGGGAUCCCCCGUGACCUGAGCAGCACAGAGUUCCUCACACAGGUGACUGAACCCAUGGUUUUGGUGUCUGAGAAGAUGCAGCUUCUCCAGUCUCUGCAACUGAUGUCACCAAGAUGGAAGCACUCAGCUUCAGUGUUCAGAAGCAGAUUUAGGCCAACUACCACACCUUAUGUCCUGGAGGGAUCCACCCUGACUUGAGCAGAGAUGGAGUUUCGUGAUGUUGCCCAGGCUGGUCUCAAACUCCUGGUCUCAAGUGAUCAGCCCGUCUCAACCUCUCAGAAUGCAAGGAUUAUAGGUGUGAGUCACUGCAUCCCACACAGACUUUGAGUGAAUUUCAAUUGUACAUGUAAUGUUUUAUUUCUCAAUAUGAGUAUAUACAAGUAUAUUCUUUUUGUAAGCUUUUUUAUAUCUAAAAUAUUUCAGAAAAAUAAAACUUUCUUUAGUUCUGAUUAUAAAAAUGAUCUGUACGAAUUUAGAAGUUGUGGAAAAUAUAGUUAUGUCCAGAAAUAAAUAUAUAAUUAAUCCGUAAUUCUACUACUCAUAAACUUAAAAAAGAGUAUUAUGUUUGUAUAUUACUCCCACUUAUACUCUGUAUGCAUGCAUCAUAAUGUAUAUUCAUUGCAUGUGAGUCUAAUAUAUUGAGACAUUCAAGAUUUGCAACCAAACUCUGACUCUCAAGUCACCAACCCUAACCAUUGGGGUAUACAAUCUUAUAAAUAAGGGCUGUGUUCAGCUCAGAGGAAGUAUCUUCUAGACAAGGACAGAUCUGGCAUUCAGUCCUCAAGUCUCCUGAUUUCAGUCUGUUGUACAGAAUAGUAAUCUUUAUGCUCUUUUAUUCUGUACUGUCUCCUUUCUGGGGUUCGAACAAAGGUUCCUAUCCCAGUGUCAAAAUGGAAGGUAAAAAGGAAGAGAAGAACACAUCAAAUAAAAAGUAACAAAGUGAUUAUUUGAUUCCAAACUUCCACCAUUCUCAGGUAUCUCACCCACAAAGAAAUGUCACCAAAGGUUCUAUAUCACAUAAGUAUGCAUGUUUCCUUUCCCAUGUUUCAAAUUUAGAUGAUCUCUGUGAGAUGUUCAUGUUUAAGUCUUUUGUGGAAGGGAAAACAGAGGGAAGACAAAAUGUAUAUUUAUUGAAGUAUUAUGUAUCAGAUGGUUUCUAUAGUUUUGCUCAUUUCUCCUUAUAACAGUUUUGUGAGGUAAAUAUCAAUAUGCUAAUUUUAUUGAUGAGCAAGGUGAGGUUCACUGAGGAUAACUCACUACCACAGCAUCAUACAAUAGAAAAGAGUGAGUACUCUUCCCUCAUCCCAACUUCAUCACAUUGCAUAGCACAGAGAUGGCACUAAGUUUCCUACAUAAUAUAGAUGAAUGUGUGUGGUUCCCUUCUUGCAUUCCCAAAUACUCACUAAAAUAUAGUGAUGCUAUCCAGAUUAUGAAAAAACAUCCCUGUUAAAGAUCAUAAGAGUUGAGAUGGGAAGGAAGCAAACACUGGCACUGUGAAUGACACACCAAAUACCGUGCUGGCAUCUUGACAAAGAUCUCCCCUUGAACAGAUCAUAAUACUCUCUUGAGUGUAAGGAUCAGGUGUAUGUGUGUUUUUGGUGAAACACGCAAAACAAUAUAUGUUUUAUUUAGGGAGGCUCUCGUAUGGAAUAAAAGGAUAAAGCAACAAAUGGGAAGAUGAUCAUUGCUUUCUGGAUGCUGAUUAUCUGUAGCAGAGAAGGAAGGGGAUGCAAUUCGGGAAAAGUAAAGUUUUUUCCUCAGCUGGACUAAUUUCAUAGCUCUCUCUAUUUUUUAUCUGAAACAUUUCACAAGUAGCAGAGGUUUUAGGGGAUACAGUUUUUCAAAUCAUAAAUACAGACAUUCCCCAACUUUUGAUUUUUUGACUUACAAUUUUUCAAUUUUAUGAUAGUGUGAAAAUGGUACACAUUCAAUAGAAACUGUACUUCAAGUUUUAGAUUUUGGUCUUUUCUCCAGCUAGCAGUAUGCAGUAUUAUACUCUCUUGUGAUUCUGUUAGGGAGCAGUAAUGAGCCACAGCUCCCAGUCAGCCAUGCAAUCACGAGGAUAAACAACUGAUAUUCUACAGUGUACAGUGUUGCCAGCAUUUUUUGGAUAUUGUUUUGUGUUUUCACAUCCCAUCUUGUCUACAAAUGCCCAUUUUUGACCUACAAUUAUUUUCAACUUACAAUGAGCUUAUUAGGAUGUAACUCCCAUAGUAAGUCAAGUAUGGAAUAUGGAGUCUGGAGUAUGUAUAAUCCAUAUUCUCACCUUAGCAAAUGUUUAAUAUUGAGCCAAAUGCAGGGUUAAAAAUAUCAAUAGCCAGCAAUCCCCAUCAUAAUUAACAUGGUACUAGAUCUUUCCAAUGAUUUUUUAUAUAUGGAUAUAUGCACGUGUACUGUACAUGCAUUACAAAUGCAAUUAAUAAAGCUCUUAUAAUCCUA
This is a non-coding RNA of Callithrix jacchus (white-tufted-ear marmoset), 3173 nucleotides long. NCBI's taxonomy places the organism in Eukaryota, Metazoa, Chordata, Mammalia, Primates, Cebidae. The record is from RefSeq and is a predicted model, not a curated record.